GACGAACGCUGGCGGCGUGCUUAACACAUGCAAGUCGAACGGAAAGGCCCUGCUUUUGUGGGGUGCUCGAGUGGCGAACGGGUGAGUAACACGUGAGUAACCUGACCUUCACUUUGGGAUAACUUAAGGAAACUGGGGCUAAUACCGGAUAGGAGCUCCUGCUGCAUGGUGGGGGUGGGAAAGUUUCGGCGGUGGGGGAUGGACUCGCGGCUUAUCGGCUUGUUGGUGGGGUAGUGGCUUACCAAGGCUUUGACGGGUAGCCGGCCUGUGAGGGUGACCGGCCACAUGGGGACUGAGAGACGGCCCAGAGUCCUACGGGGGGCAGCAGUGGGGAAUAUUGCACAAUGGGCGGAAGCCUGAUGCAGCAACGCCGCGUGCGGGAUGACGGCUUUCGGGUUGUAAACCGCUUUCGCCUGUGACGAAGCGUGAGUGACGGUAAUGGGUAAAGAAGCACCGGCUAACUACGUG
Molecule: ribosomal RNA, 468 nt
Filed under: uncultured bacterium
Lineage: Bacteria
Description: partial 16S ribosomal RNA
Rfam family: Bacterial small subunit ribosomal RNA
Source: RNAcentral